Mauremys reevesii (Reeves's turtle) is the source of this 3471-nucleotide RNA transcript. It is a transcript of the gene named radial spoke head 10 homolog B2-like, with no coding region annotated. Lineage: Eukaryota; Metazoa; Chordata; Testudines; Geoemydidae. The record is from RefSeq and is a predicted model, not a curated record. The transcript has 25 exons.
CCAGUGGUGAUACAAUCGCCUCAGGUGUCUUUGCAAAUGUAGCCGAGGAGUCGGGGGUAAAUUGCCAUCUCCUUCUAGAGAAGUUUUCUAGCUUGGAGAAAUUAGUCUCAGGAAUCUCCACACCCUGCUAGCUGCAACAGAACCGCAGCUUGGGUUUGCAGGAGUUAAAUGAGUUCAGAUUUUGAAAACUAAACCUCUGAUGUAAAAAAUAGGGAAAGAAGCUAAAGCCUUUUGUUCAGAAAAACGUAGCUUUGAGGCAAUUCAGUGGCAAUGGCUAAAGAUAAGAAGAAAGAUGGCAAAAAAACAGAAAAGUUGGCACCUGCCCCUCCACCUCCACCUGACACUUCAUUUGAAGGUAUUUCUUCAGUGCAGCUGUCAUAUGUCCAGACAUCAUUGAAUCAAGCAGAGGAAGCACAAGCAAGCCCUUUAGAAUCCCAAGAAGAAUCAAAAGAGACGGAAGUACCUCUGAUCCAAGAAGCAGCUCAGUAUUAUGAGGAGCCUAUUCUAACUCAACUUAUUGUAGAAAAUUAUGAAGGAGAAAAAGUCCAUGGAUUAUAUGAUGGAGAAGGUGUAGCAUAUUUUCAGGGAGGAAAUAUAUACAGAGGCAUGUUUUCCGAAGGACUCAUGCAUGGACACGGGACUUAUACAUGGGCUGAUGGAGUGAGGUAUGAGGGGAACUUUGUUAAGAAUGUGCAGAUGUAUAAUGGCAGUUACACAUGGCCUGAUGGCAGCAUGUAUGAAGGAGAGGUGAAGAAUGGAGUCAGGCAUGGCUUUGGCAUGUACAAGUGUGGCACCCAUCCAGUUUCAUACAUUGGCCAAUGGUGUGAAGGCAAAAGACAUGGAAAGGGUACCAUUUAUUAUAAUCGAGAAGGUACUUCCUGGUAUGAAGGCGACUGGGUAAACAACAUCAAAGAUGGCUGGGGGAUAAGAUGUUAUAAAUCUGGAAAUAUCUAUGAAGGUCAAUGGGAAAAAAAUGUGCGCCAUGGGGAAGGAAGGAUGAGAUGGCUGACGACUAACCAGGAGUAUACUGGACAGUGGGUAAAUGGCAUACAGCAUGGGUAUGGUACCCACUCCUGGUUUCUGAAGAGAAUACCUGGGUCUCAGUAUCCUUUGAGGAAUGAAUAUGUAGGGGAUUUUGUAAAUGGGGAUCGUCAUGGACGUGGAAGGUUCUUCUAUGCCAGUGGAGCAAUGUAUGAUGGAGAAUGGGUUUGCAAUAAAAAACAUGGCAUUGGAAGAUUUGUCUUCAAAAAUGGGCGUAUUUACGAAGGGGAGUUUAUAAAUGAUCAAAUAGCAGAGUACCCAGCUUUUCAAGUGGAUGCAAUGAAUACGCAGGAUCUGAGUGGCAUUCGAACACAAAGUCCCUUUGGCACUGAAACCAUAAGAAUAAUUGAUGGCCCAGGAAAUACCUCUGUGUUGGGAUCAAACAUUGAACUAGACAUAUCUUCAUUGCUGAACUUGUUUCCAGAGAAAGACAGACAGGAAGAAAUGAAACAGGUAGAAUAUGCGGUAUUGAGACAUAUUACAGAACUGAGAAGAAUCUACAGUUUUUACAGCAGCUUAGGCUGUGAUCAGUCUCUUGACAACACCUUCCUGAUGACUAAGCUCCAGUUCUGGAGAUUUCUAAAGGAUUGCAGGUUUCAUCAUUAUAAUGUAACCCUUGCUGAUAUGGACAGGAUACUGAAUGAAGAUAAAACAACACCUGAGGAGGUGCAUUCUCCAUAUGAAACUUUACUGCUAAGAACAUUUUUGACUUACCUUAUUCAUCUAGCAGUCCAUAUCUAUCACAAAGAGCACAAAGAUAAAGGUCCAUAUCUGUUUAAGUGUUUCUCAAAAAUGAUGAUGAAGAACAUUAUUCCCAAUGCUUGUCAUAUACAAGGCAUUUUAUUUUGUGAACAACAACAAACUGUCUGUGCAAUUAAUUACAUUGAUAAAUGCUGGGAGAUAUACAGGGCUUAUUGUAGACCAAGCACCAUACCUCCUUAUGAACCCACAAUGAAAAUGAGACACUUCCUCUGGAUGUUGAAAGAUUUAAAUAUGCUAAGCAAACAAUUAACUGCUACAAAAAUUGUGGAAAUACUGGUAAAGGACAAUCCUUUUGUAUGUGAUGGAGAUGACAGCAACUUACAGCAUGAGUUGGUUUUUCUUGAAUUCUUUGAAGCUCUCCUUGAUUGUGCCCUGUUAUAUGUUACCAAUGAUAUGAUUAAGCAGCAAGUAGAUCUUGUAAAUCAAGAAGGAAAUGGUUAUAGAACUGAAGAUUACACAGAAGGGGCACGGCAUAUUCUGCAGCACCCAGAAUACUCAUUUCAGUCCAUUCAUAGCAGAAGUAUGAUCAGUGCUGAGGUAAGCCAUGAACCCUCUGAGACAAAUCACUACUACAUUACUACAAGGUCUUCAAGCAAGCUAGCACAGUCACCUGAUAAUAGAAUAAAGAAACCUGAGCUUAAAUCCAAGGACUCUGCAGUAGAAUACAGAACUUCCAGACAGACUUUUAAAUCUACUGAAAAAGAGAGAGAAGCCAUUGUAGAACAUGCUUCCGUCAUAGGCUGCCGGGCACCAAAGGAAGGAGCUGGAGCAGUUCCAAAUGUCACAUUCUCCUCAAACACAGUGUACCGGCUGUCUCCUGAUGACAAAGAUGAAAUGUUAGUUCAGUCUUUGACAGAUUUGGAUGCAGAACAAGGCCAAGUGCUCAGCAACCCCAUGAAAGAAUUUGCAGAUAAACUAGAAAAAGCAAAAAACGAACAGAAGGAAAAACUCAGUCUGUGGCUGAAUCAGAUGUACAUCUUUUUUGUGAACAAGUUCUUUCCUGCCUACAAGCAUGCUCAAGUGGUGAAGGAAAAUGUAGAAGAAAAUAGGAAACGGGAUGCUGAAUUAGCCAUGCAGCUGAAAACUGAAGAGGAAGCAAAGCGUAUUGCCCUAAGGAAAGCCGAAGAGGCCAAAAAACAAGAAGAAGCUGCAGCAGAAAAAGCAGAGACAGAUAAUACAGUGGUUAAAGAGCCAGAGGAUUCAGCUACACAGCUGCCACUUCCUGCAAAGGAAGAAGUAGUGAUUCUGCCCCAGCCAGUCAUUAGCAAGGUUUCUGCAGAAUGGCCAAGCCAACGAGAGUUUUUCACCCUCCUUGGUGGAUUUGGGCAUGAGAUGAUCUCCCUUUCCCAGUUUGAUAUCUGCAGCUGCCACCCCUGAGAGACUGAACUGCAUAGGAUAACGCCUAAUACUACUCAGAGAUAACAUAAUUCUGGAGCUCAAGUGGUAGUGGUCCUUCUAGUAUCAAUAUGGUCCACAUCAUAAUAUCUGAGCAUUUGAGGCAUAUAAGGAAUUUUCCUCAUAACAGCUCUUGGAAGUAGGAAAGAUUGCCUGGGCCUAAAUAUUUAAGAAAAAAAGGAAAACCAUUCAAAAUAUUAAUUCCAUGUCUCUUCACUUCUCAAGUAUAAUCUCCAGCAUCCUUAAAGCAACUCAUCUUCUCUCUGUUGCUGA